GAUCCGAAGAUUUCCGAAUGAGGAAACUCACUUAGAGUAAUGUCUAAGUAUCAUUAAGUGAAUACAUAGCUUAAUGAGGGGAACUCAGGGAACUGAAACAUCUAAGUACCUGAAGGAAGAGAAAGAAAUUCGAUUCCGUAAGUAGCGGCGAGCGAACGCGGAUUAGCCCAAACCAAUAAAGUUUUCUUUAUUGGGGUUGAGGACAUACCACAUAUAAGAGGUCAUUAUAGACGAAGAAGUUUGGAAAAACUCAUCAUAGAAGGUAAUAAUCCUGUAGUCAAAAUAAUAAUUCUUUAGGUAUGAUCCAGAGUACCACGGGACACGUGAAACCCUGUGGGAAGCAGGAGGGACCACCCUCCAAGGCUAAAUACUACCUAGUGACCGAUAGCGUAUAGUACCGUGAGGGAAAGGUGAAAAGAACCCCGGGAGGGGAGUGAAAUAGAACCUGAAACCCUGCACUUACAAG
Molecule: ribosomal RNA, 466 nt
Filed under: Clostridioides difficile
Lineage: Bacteria; Bacillati; Bacillota; Clostridia; Peptostreptococcales; Peptostreptococcaceae
Description: partial 23S ribosomal RNA
Rfam family: Bacterial large subunit ribosomal RNA
Source: RNAcentral